UGGGCGGAAGAUCUGGACUCUCCCAGGCCCAUGGCUGAUGGCCGGACAGGUGCUCCCGGAACUCUCUCUGGCCUCAUUCUGCUGGGACGGGUCCAUCCCCAUCCAAAGCACCCAAAGGCGCCAUAAAGACUAGUAGGACCUAGCUUCUCUUCUGUAUCCCACUACCUGGGCUCAUUGAAGGUCUGUCCCUAACUCAGUGCCCUUAGAGCAGAUCUAGCCCAUGUCUCCAAUCCCAUGUUCUCCAAGCACUUCCUGAGGCCCCACUGUGAGCCAGUUCCUGCCCUCAGGACACCACGGUACCGUUUUGUCUAGUUGGGGCCCAGAGAUUGGACUCUAGAGCUGGGAGGUAAACAGGACUCAAGGGGCCCUCCAAAGUUGAAAUCAGAGAGCCAUCCAAGCUAAUCCACCCACGGCCCAGACAGGGUGACAAAGCUCCGCCUCUAGGCCAGGUUUCCUGCCCUUCAGGCAGAGUCUCAUUUUGUUCUGUGCUGUGUCUGUCUCCUUCCCUGAAAGAGCCCAGCUGGACUUUAAGCCUCUGCUCUAGCUGCUGCCGGCUUCCAAAGAGGCUUACUUGGCAAGCCUCUCACGGUACCUGUGGCCCCAUUCCUGGGCUCCACCACGCAGUGGGCUGGAGAGCAGGUAAGGGGCCUGCCACAGCAGGCAGAGGCCUGGAGGUAGUUCCUAAUGCACAGGGGCUGCAAGCCUACAUCAGUACAGGAAGGACGGCCUUUGCAGCCCUCUGCUCUGACCAUGAGAGGGCUUCCCAGUUCAGAACCCGCUGUUCACCUCAACCUCCCCUGCCUUCCUCUGCAAAUGGAGCAAACUGCUUGGCAUUGAGCCAGAAUCACCAGCGAGCAAAUCUCUUCUUCCAGAACCCCCAUUCUCUGCGUAGCUCCAGUGUGCACCCCACAAUCCUCGCCAUGCACUUCCACUCUUGAGUACAUGGGUUUCACAUGUUCUAGUCCGUGCUCAGGGUCACAUGCAUUUCUAGACAUGGUCCCUCUUCAUACCACAGCCCCCUGUCCUCACACAUCUCACAGACUCCUGGUCGCCUCAUUCACCUGCCUGCUCACUGCACACAAAGCUCUUGGGGCAUCACAGAAUGCUGAGGGUGGCAGGGGGGCCCUGCCUUUGAGCCUUGCCCCUGGCCCUCCCUGACACAGUAGUUCAGUGGGGAUUCUCAAAAGAGCAUGGCCUCAGCUGCAAGAUGGUAACAAUCUAACAGACCCACCCCUACUGUGGAUGGCCACCUUGAUCUGCCCUGCCUACUGCCCACUCAACAGGAGAGAAGUCAGACUCAAACCUUUCUGCCCACACCACGGACUAGUACCACAAGCCCCCUCACACCACAUGGAGGCCUUCCCAAAACCCACAUCUAGCACCUCCAUAAACACUAAGCACCAUAUAUGGCAAGACAAACCCCAAACUCCUACUCUGGGUUUCCAUGUCCCAUGUGCCUGAUCCAGCCUCCCCCCUCCAAUUUAUGUUAAUCCCCUCCCCGCUUCAUACAUAAACACACACUUUCAAAAACAGAUUUUCCAUAAAGUUCAUGGCACCUGACUUUUAAGCACUCCCCCCAGCCUCUUCACUUGCACAACCCACUGAGAGAUCUUCUCCAGGGACCAGGCAAGGGCAUCAGACACACUAUGCUCAGUUUCCCUACUGGAGUGUGAUGGCUGACCAGCCACAUGUGGCCUGCUUUAUGAAGGGGGUGUGUUUAUGGGACAGCAGCCUUUUGGAACAGUGAAGGUUGUGCACAUGAAGGUGUCAGCACCUUUAAUAGCUGCUAUGAGGAACUUGUCCCUUGGGCGAUUUACCCUCUGGGCCCUAGAUCCCCUGGAUGGGCCAGCAGGUGGCUAGGGAGGAACUUUGCUCUGGGGGAUGGGAGCUCUGACUGUCUGGAAGCUUGUGCUGGAAAUUCCAUCAUUUCUUUAGUUCUCUGCUAUGUUACCUAUAAAAUGAAGGGACAUCCGGGCUGGCCUUGGGUUCCUGCAGCUUGACCAGGAAAGGUUCUGGCUGCAUUCUCCAGCUCCUAUUGCUUUGACCUUUGCCUGCUUUCUAAAGUCUGCAUAGACCACUCUGCUCUCCUGGAGAGAGGCCAAGCAGCCCUCACAUCUAAUCUCCUCUUCUCCUAGGUCUUAGGAAAGUGCAUCACUAGCUUUCUGUCUCCCCCAGAGCCUUUGGCACCCUGAGCUGUGUGAGGACUAGACAUGGCCCAGCAUGUGGCGAGCCAGGCUGGUGGGCCUAGUCCUCUCCCACCCUUCACCAUGUGACUUGAGGCAGGGUCCUUCCUCCUCUCCUCUCCCUACAUCUAGGUUCCCCAAAUGGUGGGGUAGCACAACUGGACUGAUGUUCAGUACUGUCCCACCAUUUUUACAUUUACCUCUGUCAGGGCCAUAGGUCCAUGUUACAGAUGAGUCUAGGGGAGCAAGUGGAACUCAGAGUGUUCAUUCACAAAUGCAUUUGAUGUGCCCAUCCCUACCUGCCAGCCUCGCCCCCGUUCCACAUGCCAGGCUGGAACUAAGCAUGAACGGGAAGCGAGAGAGCACAUCGACAACCUUCUCCUGCCCUUGCUAACCUCAGGACCUCAGGGAAGGAGAGGAGCUGAACAAGCCAGUAAUAAAAGUAGAGAAUGAUGAAACAGACAUGGAAGGUGCUAGAGUGGCUGUGUGAGGGGCAAAACUCUCCUAGGACUGUGACCAAUCAUGUGACUGUCAGAUGGGGUCAAGGAAGCCUCCACUUCCACAUUCUGUUAGCCCUGGAAGGAGCUCUGCCUCAGGGAAGCCUGAAGAUGAGCAGGAAACCAACUAGCCCCUCUCCCAGGAGACUAAGAAGCCCAGGGCUAUGCAGAACUUCCCAGACCCCCACUGUCACACUUCGAGGGACCUGGGGCAGUGAAGGAUGAGCUAGAAGAGCCACCUGACUGAGUAAGCACGAUUUCUGGGAGGGGUUCCCCAAACACAACAAGUCAAGAACUGACUCUACAGCAGCCACUGAGACCCUCCUGGAACCUCAUCUCAGACUCAGCCCUCCCCAAAGGAUGAAAAAUAUCUCCAGCUUGGUAGCCCUCGGCAAGUUUCCUCUCAAGCUUCUACAACCAAUUUCCUACCCAUUUCACAAAUGAAGUGACUGAGGCCUGAAGAGGCAAGUCGAUGUUCCAGACCACACACUCAGGUCUUUCUCCUCCGCUGUGUGGCCUUCAGCCACAUGCCAGUCCCUGCAGGUCCACGGCGAAGGAAAAUCUGAGAGGGAGAACCACGACCCCUCUUCUUCAGUGGACAGAAACAGCCUAAGCUGAGUGCAGUCAGGGCAGGACCUGUGCCUAGGCCUACCAUACAGUCAGACUCUCAUUCAAAACCCUUCACAUGCCCUCCUCUGGCUCCUACUGGGCAAGGGACGAGACCAUCGCUGACUCCCAGGAGAUCAGUCUAGGUGGCCAAUUUACAACCCAUUAUUUCAUCCCAAGCUAUUGCAAGUUACAUAGCAACCUGCUACAAUCUCAGAUCUGGCUAGGGGGGUGUGGCGGGGGGCAGGGGACACAGAGGGAUCCCUGAGCUGCAGAGAGAACCCAGAGAGGGAAAACUUCAUGAAGAAGGAAGCAUCUGAGCUGAGAGUCAAGGGAAGAGUGGACCUUGGUCCAGUGCACAAGAUGAAGGAUGGCACCCCAGGCCCAGGUACUGCAAAUGUAUGGCCCAACAGAAAAAACAAUGGGGAUCCCUAAGCAGGCUGGGAUACCUGGUGUGCAGAGCAGAAUCCUGGACUCCAGACCUACCAGGGAUCCCCUCACCCAAAUGGCAGCGGGUAGUGACAGUCCGAAGAACCAGUAUGGGUGUGAGGGUACUUCUUACGGCCUGGAUGCCUACUCAGCCGUGCUGGCAGGAGAGAAGGCCUACCCCAAGUGGCUCGGAAGUCCAGCAGCCUCUGUGGCUCUGACCAGCAGUGACGAGGACAUCUCCUGGUCGUUAAUCACAGCAUGUGUUAAUGUUUGAUAAAUUGCCCAACAGUUGCAUUAGCUAAUAACUCUCCGAACAAAACCAGAGAAUUCAUCUGUUUUUAUAAGAGGCCCAAGAGCAUCCUGGGAACAGGCACGGUGGUCGUGAAUAAAAGAGAAACAUUCAUUUAUGGUAA
This is a long non-coding RNA of Jaculus jaculus (lesser Egyptian jerboa), 4128 nucleotides long. RefSeq lists it as uncharacterized. NCBI's taxonomy places the organism in Eukaryota, Metazoa, Chordata, Mammalia, Rodentia, Dipodidae. The record is from RefSeq and is a predicted model, not a curated record. The transcript has 5 exons.